Molecule: long non-coding RNA, 180 nt
Filed under: Dasypus novemcinctus (nine-banded armadillo)
Lineage: Eukaryota; Metazoa; Chordata; Mammalia; Cingulata; Dasypodidae
Description: lncRNA (ENSDNOG00000052758.1)
Source: RNAcentral
GGCAGAGUUGAAGGCAAGAAGGUUUGGAGAAGUCCCAGGCAGGAAGUCGGUGGGGGAGAGGCCCCUGGAGAGUUCAUUCCACUCCAGUCACAGAAGAGAGAUGGAUCUUCUUUUUGAAGACCUUGGAUCUCUUUGCCUUCUCUGAUAUGGAAAUUCACUUGACUGAGAUCACACAGCUGG